This 651-nucleotide ribosomal RNA is filed under the name bacterium SCSIO13129. RNAcentral's name for it is "bacterial SSU rRNA". It matches the Rfam family "Bacterial small subunit ribosomal RNA", at positions 56 to 754 of the family's 1533-position model. The record is from RNAcentral.
UGCAGUCGAGCGCGCCUUUCGGGGUGAGCGGCGGACGGGUUAGUAACGCGUGGGAAUAUGCCCAAUGGUACGGAAUAGCCUCUGGAAACGGAGAGUAAUACCGUAUGAGCCCUUCGGGGGAAAGAUUUAUCGCCAUUGGAUUAGCCCGCGUUAGAUUAGGUAGUUGGUGGGGUAAUGGCCUACCAAGCCUACGAUCUAUAGCUGGUUUUAGAGGAUGAUCAGCAACACUGGGACUGAGACACGGCCCAGACUCCUACGGGAGGCAGCAGUGGGGAAUCUUGGACAAUGGGGGCAACCCUGAUCCAGCCAUGCCGCGUGAGUGAUGAAGGCCUUAGGGUCGUAAAGCUCUUUCGCCUGUGAAGAUAAUGACGGUAGCAGGUAAAGAAACCCCGGCUAACUCCGUGCCAGCAGCCGCGGUAAUACGGAGGGGGUUAGCGUUGUUCGGAAUUACUGGGCGUAAAGCGCACGUAGGCGGAUCGGAAAGUUGGGGGUGAAAUCCCGGGGCUCAACCCCGGAACUGCCUCCAAAACUAUCGGUCUAGAGUUCGAGAGAGGUGAGUGGAAUUCCGAGUGUAGAGGUGAAAUUCGUAGAUAUUCGGAGGAACACCAGUGGCGAAGGCGGCUCACUGGCUCGAUACUGACGCUGAGGUGC